Molecule: ribosomal RNA, 253 nt
Filed under: uncultured bacterium
Lineage: Bacteria
Description: partial 16S ribosomal RNA
Rfam family: Bacterial small subunit ribosomal RNA
Source: RNAcentral
UACGAAGGGGGCUAGCGUUGCUCGGAAUCACUGGGCGUAAAGGGUGCGUAGGCGGGUCUUUAAGUCAGGGGUGAAAUCCUGGAGCUCAACUCCAGAACUGCCUUUGAUACUGAGGAUCUUGAGUUCGGGAGAGGUGAGUGGAACUGCGAGUGUAGAGGUGAAAUUCGUAGAUAUCGGGAGGAACACCGGUGGCGAAGGCGGCGAUCUGGGUAGAUACUGACGCUGAGGUGCGAAAGCGUGGGGAGCAAACAGG